AGAACCAAAAUCGUCACCUUCAAAACUAUUUUUUUUAAUCCUGUUGUGUUUCUUCAAUCUGUUAAUACAAUAUUGUUUUUUUUCCAAUCGAUUUUACAAUCAACUCUUUAUAUCCCAAAACAAUAAUAAAAUAAAUAAUAAAAAUCCAAAAAAUCCCCCUUCACCAAAAACAAUCGGCCCUCUUUUUAGCCGAAUUUUUACAAGUCAAAAU
Molecule: long non-coding RNA, 211 nt
Filed under: Gossypium raimondii (Peruvian cotton)
Lineage: Eukaryota; Viridiplantae; Streptophyta; Magnoliopsida; Malvales; Malvaceae
Description: long non-coding RNA (GRAI_LNC001616)
Source: RNAcentral